CCCUUAGAUGUUCUGGGCUGCACGCGUGUUACAAUCGGGAGUACAACAAGAUUGCAAAUCCUAGUGGAUGAGUGGUUCUUCGAAAUUUUCUGAAGACUGGGAUAGUUGAUUGAAAUUAUUCAACUCGAACGAGGAAUUCCUUGUAAUCGUGAUUCAUCACAUCACGAUGAAUACGUCCCUGCCCUUUGUACACACCGCCCGUCGCUCCUACCGAUCGAAGAGUUAGGUGAAUUGUUUUGAUCGAUAAGAUUUGACUAUGGUCAACUCUCGUUGUGAAAUUCUGUGAAUCUGACUGUUUAGAGGAAGGAAAAGUCGUAACA
Molecule: ribosomal RNA, 320 nt
Filed under: uncultured eukaryote
Lineage: Eukaryota
Description: partial 18S ribosomal RNA
Rfam family: Eukaryotic small subunit ribosomal RNA
Source: RNAcentral